AUUGAACGCUGGCGGCAUGCUUUACACAUGCAAGUCGAACGGCAGCACAGGGAGCUUGCUCCUGGGUGGCGAGUGGCGAACGGGUGAGUAAUGUAUCGGAACGUGCCUGGUAGUGGGGGAUAACUACUCGAAAGAGUGGCUAAUACCGCAUGAGAUCUUUGGAUGAAAGCGGUGGGCCUUCGGGCCUCGUGCUACUGGAGCGGCCGAUAUCAGAUUAGGUUGUUGGUGGGGUAAAGGCCUACCAAGCCUGCGAUCUGUAGCUGGUCUGAGAGGACGACCAGCCACACUGGGACUGAGACACGGCCCAGACUCCUACGGGAGGCAGCAGUGGGGAAUUUUGGACAAUGGGCGCAAGCCUGAUCCAGCAAUGCCGCGUGCAGGACGAAGGCCUUCGGGUUGUAAAAUGCUUUUGUACAGAACGAAAAGUCUCUGGCUAAUAUCUAGAGAUCAUGACGGUACUGUAAGAAUAAGCACCGGCUAACUACGUG
Molecule: ribosomal RNA, 488 nt
Filed under: uncultured bacterium
Lineage: Bacteria
Description: partial 16S ribosomal RNA
Rfam family: Bacterial small subunit ribosomal RNA
Source: RNAcentral